UACGUAGGGUGCAAGCGUUGUCCGGAAUUAUUGGGCGUAAAGAGCUCGUAGGCGGUCUGUCACGUCGGCUGUGAAAUCCCGAGGCUCAACCUCGGGUCUGCAGUCGAUACGGGCAAACUAGAGUAUUGCAGGGGAGAAUGGAAUUCCCGGUGUAGCGGUGAAAUGCGCAGAUAUCGGGAGGAACACCGGUGGCGAAGGCGGUUCUCUGGGACGUUACUGACGCUGAGACGCGAAAGCGUGGGGAGCAAACAGG
Molecule: ribosomal RNA, 253 nt
Filed under: uncultured bacterium
Lineage: Bacteria
Description: partial 16S ribosomal RNA
Rfam family: Bacterial small subunit ribosomal RNA
Source: RNAcentral